UGAACUUUGGGAAGUAACACUGAAGAUAUUAAACUCUAAAGUAACGAAGUGAUCACAUGUGGAAAAACAACCAGAACAGAGCAGACUGUGGAGUAAAAUCAUGCUGAAGGUAAUAAGGUCACUCAAAGAUUGAUGUUAAUAACCAUAUUCCAGGUACACUCGCUCACACCAUGACUCAUGUAAUUAAACCAGCUGACUAAGAGACAGAUGUUAUUGUAACACUCAGUGUGAUUAAUCACCACUUCAUCAGAUUUGUAUAUAAUGGCUUGAGUUCAACCAGAUGUGAGUGUGCUUGACGUCCAAAGUAACCAGAGAAACACACCCUGAAUUAAUGAUCAUCAGUGCUCUCAGGUCAGCCAGCGGGGCUCUUUCCUGAGUCCUGCUUUGAUAAAUGUGUCAGUGAACAUAAGUACAGAAGAAGACUUGUUUCACUGCACUGGUGACACAACACAACAAUGAUGAGUUUUAGAGAGUGUGCCAGUGUCCACACCCAGCAAGUGAUCACUCAUGAUCAGUUCAAAAGUAAGGAGUGUAGCCUCAAGCAAACAUGUUAGCAUGAGAGAUGGUGCUUUAGGGUGUAACAGUACACAAAAGCUAAAGUUUGUUAUGUUUUUGGUUCAGUAAGGAAACAACAAAAAAAAAAAAAAAAAUUGUACAAUAAAAUGAAACAGAAUAAAACAGAAUGCAGGCAUAUUUCCCAUAUUUUGUUUUCCAUAUUUUCUACUAAAAUAGUCACUUAUGUUGUUCUUUCAUCCUGCUGAGCUGCAGUUUCUCUCUUCUGUUCCUUUGCUCUCUGCAAGCUUUGCAGGGACAGGCCUUACACACAGCAACUCCAUACUCUACAGUUAAUAACACCCAUGUUAGCUUCCCCUCUAUAUAGAAAGGCUGCUUCAUGGGGUGGUUGUGGCUCGGUAAUAGAGUUGGUUGUCUCUCAAUCCAAAGGUCGAGGUUCAAUCCCAGGUACCCCUGUGUAUAUGUGCAAGUGCCUUCGGACAAGACACUUAACCCCAAACUGCACCACUUGGCUACAUCCAGUGGUGUGUGAAUGGAUUAGUAAUAUUGACAGGUACAGGCACCAAAUUCAAGCUUUAAAGAUUCAUGUCUUUCUGAGUUGAUCUUAAUGGAGAUAAGAUUAUUUGCCUCACUGGCAGAUGUGUUUUCCCCGUUUUAGUUGAUUCAAUGCAGAUUUGAAGACUGAAUAGGGGACUAAUUACUACAGCUGAUUCAAUGGUUCAGGUGUCCCUGGGAUGUUUGAUUCCGACACCCUGUCAUUAAUUGUCUUUAAUCAACUACAGUACAGAAACCACCACAAACUCUGACUUUAAACUUGUAUUGCGUCAGCCUGCUUAAAAACACAAUGAGCUCUACAGCAGGGCUUAUAAACGGAGCUGUGAGGGAUGAUCAUGAUACUGUGCUUAUAAGAACUCCUGUCCAGAUGAGUCCUGAGUAGGAGCAGGACAUCUACCUGUCUGCUGAUCAGCCCUCUGACUUUGUCAUUUCAGCUAAUCCUUCUCUGCCUUAUUUGCUCAGCUCUGCCACCCCCUUCUCCUCCAUGGCAGAUUUUUAAUUGACUAUAGCCACGGCCAAACACUCUGCUUCUCUGCCUUUAAUCUUCAGGAGAGCUAAUAAGGCUCUGGCUCCUCCACAUCCCCCUCUUUCUCCUCCUCCUCCUUUCUCUCUCUCUCUCUGUCCCCCCCCCCCCACACACACACACACACACACACACACACACACACACAUUUGUCUUUUUUCAUUUUUAAGUUCACAUUACAGCAAGGGGGAAAAAAAACAGUACAUGAGUGAGGGAAAGCACACAGUGUCCCCCACUCUUGCUAUCAAUUUCAGAGUGAUUAGGCCUGGGAAGGGUUUUAAUUUGAGAUGGGAAAUUGAAUUCAGUCAUGAUAAAAUCUGCAUUAGGUUUCGGAGCUUUGCACUAGAAGUUCAUGUGAAUGUGUUAGUAUGAUGUGGAAAAUAAAAAGGCUUUUUAUCACAGUUUGAUACGGUGGGAUGACACUGGAGUUCAUUAAUUGAUAAUGGCUUCUUGAUAGAAAGCCUUGAAGUGAAGUCACCAUUAGGAAGCUGCCUUUCAGACACAACAGAGAUAUCCAACCGAUGUCUUUUAUGAUCCUGAAAUCUGUCCAUGCAACUGUUACAUGAAGGCAAGGCUGGGAGAUUAAUGAGUAUUACAAUGAUGGCUCCUCAUGAUCAUAAAAAUAUGAACAGUUACACCUGCAUCUGUACAGUUCAAAUAAUGAGGCGCACCCUCUCUUUGGUCCUUUAUUGCAAAAUAUGGGCACCACCCCUCCUCUCAAACAGCUCUCAGUUUAACUGCAUCACUGUCAGCUCAGACUGUGUUUGGACGAGAGCAGCAAGAGGAGCAGGUGGCAAGAGGAGAGCAGGGAGAGAGGCAGGAGGAGGCGAGAGGAGAUAAGCAGGGGGAGAGAGGAGAGCAGGGAGAGGAGCGGGAUGUGGAGAGAGGAGAGGAGCAGGAGGAGGAGAGCAGAAAGAGGAGCAGGAGGAGGAGAGAGGUGAGCAGGGAGAGGAGCAGGAGGAGGCAGGGGUUAGUUAACUGUAUGUGUUUGUGUGAUUAAAAAAUCAACAGCGUAAACAUGAUGACAGAGAGUCUGUAGAGAUUACCAGUGUUGACCAGCUGCAUUUUUGGGCUAAACAAGGACUUAGGUCUGUAUCAUAAUUUAAAUGAUGUAAAACUCAUCUCUAUUUGACUUAUCCACCUUUCACUCCCAUCUAUUCCCAAUUCUUACCAUUCCUCCGAACCCCAUAUAUUCACAGUUGGAUAUCUGCAGCCAUGGCAUUUGACUAGAUCCCCAUAAACACCCUUUCUUGUUGUGUAUGUGUGUCUGAUCAUCCAGGAUCUUCAUCAGAAUUCUGGUGGUCCUCACUGUUGUCCCCAGUUGCCUCCUGGCUCUCUCCAAACCCAGACAAAUGGUAAAUAUAACCUUUAGUAGCCUAGACUUGCUCCCAUAUGCUCACACACACUCACAGACAUUUGCAGGCAUGUGGAAAGAGUCCAAACUGUCUCGGAAAUGAGCGCUCAAACUUUCUUCCAGUACCUCUGUUACAUUCAUUUUCAGACUUGCUGGCCAUGUUUAAUGCAUCAGCCAUCAGAUUAGCCUGGUGGUUAGGGAAGCAGUCCCAUAAUUAGACAGUAGCAGGUUUGAUCCCUUAUGUGCAGGGUUAUAAUAAUGGCUGAAGUUUUGACAAAUGUGGGCCCAAACUUUGAAACAUUGCUUAUCAUUUGUUAAAGUUAAAAAUACUCCUAAGCAGAAACACAUACACAGUGGAGAUUUUUUUGCAUGAAUAUGUAUGUGAAAAAGAUGCCAAACAUAAGUAUAAAAUUUUGGACCGUGGGCCAACUUCCAAAUAAAAGAGUUGUGUGAUUUUGUAUUCAAACUGCUAACUAUGUGAGAUUAAAAGUGGGGUAGUCAGGAUCUGAGGACGUGCCUGUUUUUUGGAGAAAUCCUAAAUGUAAACACUACCCCUCCCAAACAGUUUUCCCCUCAGCUCCUCCUCUCCCCUCUGUCUCUGCUCCAGCAAGCCCCGCCCACAAUCAGACACUCCUGCUUGCUCGUAUUGUUCCAAUUAAAUUCCGACAAUUAUGGAGAUAAAUACGUCAGCUAAUUACAAAUGGGGCCCAGUCAACGUGAAAGGAAAUAGCAUUGGUGCUACUGUAGAUGCCAACAGACUACCAGCAAACACAAUGUUUGCAGGACUUCUACAACUAGCAUAAAGUGACAUACUCCAGGACCUGAGGGAAACAGUUUAGCGGCGCUACAACACACAGCAGGUCCAGUUUGACAAGAAACAGUUCUGCUACAGACACUUGGUUUACUUUGUUAGGCGGUUUACCUGUCCAACAGAAAAGUUACAGGGUCUGUAAGAUUCUAAAGCAUCCCCCAUCAUUUAUGCUGAUGUUGACCCAGCUUCUUACCUGUUGUACGGUCUACCUUCAUCAUAUGCGCCCGUUAUUCUGCCACAGUCUCUGAUAUUUACUUUGUUUUCUUGCUUGUGUUUUCCGUACUUUCUGGUUGGUUUCUACUGCCAGUUAUUGUAGCACACUAGCUUUGUUUGGGCUUGUAUACGUUAUUCAAUGAUGUAAAGCGUGCCUCACAACACGAGGGAGCAGCGUCUGCCUCACAACCAAUCAGCAGUAAGGAGUAGCGUCCGCCUCACAACCAAUCAGGUUUGGGGAGGCGGAGAAGGGCUUUGUUUAAAGUCAGAAAGAUCGGGCCAGAAUCACACCCAUGACCACUGCGGGGAACACAGUCUCCAACAUGGGGCACCCACUGGGCCAUCUGUGCACCCACUGUGAAACAUCUUUAAAGGUAACUUUUUGGUAUACUAUUGUGAAUGCAUUGCUGUGAUCCAAGAAGCUCUCUUGAAUGUACUUGCCAAAUCUUUGAGGAGUCAGUGGAGGCCAAAGUACAGAAAGCAUGUGAUCAAUCUAUAACUUUAUACAUAUAAACAUUUUUCUUGUGUAUUUCAUUGCAGAUUGCCCCUUUAACUCACUUACUGGACAAUGGGUGAGUAAAGCAUUUGAUGUUUGCAAUCUCACCAUAAAUGGAGAGGAGGCUGUGGAAUUACUUUAAUUUGUUACUCAAAGAAAAUCCAGAUUUAUUAUUGUCAAUCAUUUUGCGGUUGUUGUAAUUUCAAAGAAAAGUGUGCAGCUGGUAGUUAGCUGCAUUAAUUACCUUUAAAAAUUAAUUUAAUUAAUUAUCCUCUAAAAAUGCAUUUUUUUCCAAGUUACAGAUCUCCAACGUUCUGGUCUAAUGGGCUGUCCAUGAGUGUCAGACUAAUGACAUGUCAGCGUAACUGGAGGUCAUUUCCCAUUUCCUUGAUUCUCUAUAUAGAACGGAAAUUGGGUUAGCAAGAAAGACAUCCACACACUCACUCUUUCUCUUCCUCUUUCUGUCUUGUUUGACCUCAUGCUACCAUGUCAAGGGUCCUUUCUUGAUACUCUCUAUAGACCACUGUGGUCAAGAGGCGUAACAUGAGCAAAGUCACAUAAGGUUGAAUUAAACAUGUCUUGAACUAUGUGAACCUUGAACAUCUUUUUUAGUUUUGGUGUGGACAUGGAUCAAACUAAUCUUUUCAAGAAUAGUGAGUGAGGGUCAACGUUAGAACUUUUCAAAUGAUGGUGUGCUGAAAAUGUCCUCAGCUUUUAAUGAUUCCCUAUUUUCAUUGAACAAAGGCAUUCAGGUCAUGUAAAUGUUGAUUUAAAUUCCCCUCAAACAUGCCCCACAGUCCGAGAAAUUUCCGAACCCAGCCAGGUGGGCUGCAUGUGUCAAUAUUAAUGGAGGUUUUUAUUGAACUUAACUUUAUCCCAUUUUUUACAUGGCAGAUUUCUAAAAUGUCUUUUACAAGUCGGGAUGUUGGCCGCUAGCGGCUUAGGGGUGCAAAAUAGAGAGGAAGAGAGAUGCUUAAUCAUUCAGCAGCAUUAAGGGUUAUGGAGCUUUCUCAUCAUCCUGCUGUAUGUUUUAUUUGUUAUUAUAGGAUGCAUUGGUCAUACUGUAAAAUGUCCUGUGAGAUACAGAGAAAAAGCGUUAAUUUUCAAUGCUUAUCUGUCGUUUCUAUCCAUCUUUAUAGCCAGAACAGUUGGUGGAGCCCUCUUUUUUUCCUCCUCUAAGUCAGGGUGGUAUAAAUGUCGCUUAACUUCACCCCCAAUGAGCUUGUAAGAAACUGUUACACUGAUUAGCUGAUUCCCUGUGCACAUUAUGCCCUUAUUAAUCAUUAGUUUCUUCUCCGCCAGUGUGAGAGUUAUCUUUUUACCCUCUCUCUUGUUUUUUUUCAAAGGGUGAAGUUUGUCUGUUAUUUUUUUCCCCCUUUUUUUCUGUACAACUGUGUGGAUAUGAUCUGCUAAAAAACAAAACAGGUGCUGUGUUGCACCAUACUUUAGCAUAUGCAUGAGCUAAGUCCAUGUCAUCCAACUGUGAUACAGACAGGAAGAAUACCCUACUGAGGUCCUGUUCAUUGCAGUCCUACUGGCCAAACAAACUAGACUUGCGGGGUCAUUGGAAGUCUGGGUACAGUACUGAUUGCCUCAGGUGAGUGUACCUCCUGCACUGCGGAUGUAGUCCUCAUGGUGAUGGUCACCAGUUUGACUCCUGCUCUCUGCCCUUGCUGCACACCGGCCCCCACAAUUGCUGCCCCUCUUCUGCUGUGCUAUCUAAUGAAGAAAAUUGAAAAAAUGUUCGUUAUUAUCACUGUUACAGAUAUUAGAAUAAUUGUUUGAUCAUUCUUAUGGCUCUAAAGGACCUGAGCUUGUGAUGUCUCAUGUUGAAGGUUGACUUUAUUUGUAUGUAGUGUUUGAAACACAGUCUUUAGAGUCACACGACUCAUUGUCAUUAUCAUAUCUAGGGUAUUGUUGGUUUCAAACCUUUUAUUCUGUGUUUCAUAUUUAGGAACUGCAACCUUGACAAAUCCCAAAUUACACUUAACAUAAAAAAGACGCUGUGACGAGAGAUUUGUUUUUCUGCAAAACAAAAUAGGCUUUGAGGUGAAAUUUACAACUGUUUUCCUUAAAGACAGCAUCUGUUUCCCCCUGCAUAAUGUGUUUUUUGUCAUAUCCUCAUUUUAUUUUCAAGGGGACAUGAUUAUAAUGUCCCAAUGAGCCCAAUUAAAUGUACUACCCGGCCUCGGCUACACGUCUCCACAUUGCUUUGUGUCUAACUUGUUGCAACCAAAAAAUAAGGGUGACUUUGAGAAUUCCCUUUUUUAAUUUUUCUUUUUUUUCAUUUUAUUUUUCUUUCGGCUAGUAAAAGGCAACACUUUUCAGUUAUUUUAUUACAAGCUCAGGAGUUAUUGGAUAAAGUGGGCUUAUUUGGCUCAGAUCAGAUCGAUAAAGUAUAAUUUUUCACUUGACUUCGAGAUGGAGUAACUGUCCUGAUGAUGUACAGCCUCUCAUGUCCUAUUAAAAAUUAACACUGCUCACAUUAGUCCUUCUUAGUCUUAGUUUGUCCAAUAGUUAUGCACAAGUUUGAGUCCAUGUAAAAUCUGAGUGCAGAUCAGGCUUUGUGGUUAAGUCCGUGCCUGCAUACAGAAUCAAAUCUAACGUUGCCAUUAAGUGGCCUUCUCAACUCUUUCCUGAGAAUGUUUCCUGUCUCUCUAGAACCGUCCAAUCAUAUCAAUCAGAUCAGAUCAGUAUCCUAGAAAACUUUCAAGAAGCUAAAACUCAUGUUCACGUUUCAUUAUGCAGGACUUGGGCACCUACAGAGAAGCUUUGCAUGAUUUGCUAACCCCUUAGUUAUUGCAUACUGGCAUCUGUGAAAACCAUAUACGUAUAUACUGUAUAACUUGGCUCCGCCUUCCAUCAUUAUAUGAAUUUGAAGCCAAAUUGCUCUUGGUAUUUUUGGGAUUUUCUCCACUUCCUGGAACCACCACUUAGAGUAGCGUUGUACACAUUCAGUGGGACAGUCGCUGUGAUGACGCUCGGCUCAAACAGUGUAUCCCCCGGGUGAGCUACACAAUCUUUGUACACCCAUAGGCUGUAUCAAGUGUCAAUCAUAGAAAACAUGAACCCUCUAAUAACUUUUAAAAAUGUAGCUGUACAGAAAAAAAGAGGACUUGAGCACAAACCAGUCUUACAAUAACUACAUGUCAACAUCACAACCAGGGGGGAGAAGAAUUUAUAUUCUGUGGAAUUAAUUUCUAAAGUUUGUCCACAGUGUCAUAGGGAUUGCAGGAGGAGGGGCGGGAUUUAUGACCUAUACUGCAGCCCGUCACCAGAGGGUGUUGUUCUCAGAGUAGCUUUACCAGCGAGGAGGCAGACGGCGUCCAUUCAAUAUAAAGUCUAUGGUGAAAACCCUCUUGGUCUUGAGAAAUGAAGGCCAUGCUGAAAUGUUAAAAACUUUAAUUUUCUGAGUAUCCACUACAAGGUGUCUGCAGUAGCACCAGAAGCCACAAACACACUUAUUUUUAGAGCAAAUAUAAACAUGUUUACAACCUGAUUUGACAAAUGGUUUUAGGCCGAAUUAUUAAGGUUACAAAAUCAACGAAUCAGAGCUCUGGCUGUCUUGACUGGCAGCCUUGAACACUGUAGCCAUUUGUGAGGAGGCUAAAGACCCACCUCUGGCAGGUUGAUGGAAAGCUGGGUUGAGUCAGCAUUUUCAGUAACUGCUGCUGAUAGGCCUCAAAACUCUGCGUCACAAACAAAUAGGUGACCACAUUGAGACCAUGUCUGUUGUAGUGACAUAACCCCAAAGUUAGAGUUUUGUAGAAAUCCUUUGAGGCCAGCCAUUAACAUCCCAGCUCUCCUACAUUCUGUUUGUCUCUGCUGCUAUGGGACUUGGCUGAUGGAUCUGAGUCUUGGUGGAAGGUCUGUACUGAUGGAGCAAUGACAGUCAAAACUCAAACCAGCUUGUACUGGCCUUUGGACUUGAGUCUGAGUUCCUCAGUUCCCACACUUGGAGCAAAACCUCACUUUCAAAGGAGCACAAAAACUGGAUCAGGGCACUGUGGGUGUAAAAAGGACACUCACUACAACUCAGGGAAGUUGAAUCAGAACAUUGUGACUGACGCCAUUUUUCUGGAAGACGGGCACAGACUCCCCUGCACUCUUACUUCAAAGUACUAGACCUCUGCUGCUCUGGACUAAAAUAUGGGAGUAGACUGAGCUGGCUGUAUGCUUCACAGCCCAGACAAUCACUCCUCCUGCUGCCUCACAGAGUGAUCCACAGGAAACCUUACAAAAGAGCAAAGGAAGAGGGAUGAUUGCCCUUUUCUGUUCCCCUUUCUCUCCUUUAAGCAAUUCUAAACCCUAAAAAUAAGAUUUCUUGCAUCUGUCUCUUUUUUGUCCCCUCCACUCCAUCCCCAAACCACCACUCACCAGGCUGAUCUCUCCCUCUUUUCUUUCCUUAGUUCCCCUCAUCUGCUCACCGCACGGUUCCUCGCUCUCAGCUCAAAGGCCAAAAUAUUUGCAGAGAGGAGGCAGAGGCACAGCAAUGUGCUGCACACUCCCAACAGCAUACAUAAUGGCAUCAGCUGGAAGUGAAAAGAUGGAGUGACGAAGGGGGAGAGGAGAGAAAAGGUGUUUAUGAGGCUGGAGGAAGUGAAGGGAAUGAGAGGCAGUAUCAUUGGACAGCCCUCAGAGGAUGCACAAACUUUAUCUUACACUCAACACGGCUGACAAAGGGAUAUACCUCACCACUAAUCCCUCCAGGAGUAAGCUGCGUCACCUUUGAUUCAAAGCAGGUUAAGAAAAGGAGGAACAAAGAGGCAGAUCUUGCCAUGAGUGUGAAGCUCGUUACAGGGUGGUGGGGGCUGGAGGGUAUAGGAACAUGUCUCCAAAGCCUGUAACAACAAUAACACAAAGUUUUUUGAUUAUACUGAGAGGCAGAGUGAGCCAGACACAAAAGAAACAAUGGCUUUAAAUCUCUUGAAGCUUCCACAGCAAAACACACCCGUCCUACCAAGCUUUUCAUCCCAGUCUGGAGCCUCCAGAACUUUCUUUGGAAAGUCAUGCCACAUAAUUAAGCUUUCUUUUCCCCAAUGAAAAUAUACUUGUUUUUAGAGUUUAGGGCAAAUGAGAGUGAAAUAAUCACAAACUUUAUUACUUUAAGGCAGGCCUGCUGUGCAAAUGUUAAUAACAGACUCAAGAAAGGUGAAUCAGUACAUCAAAUGUUAAAACUGGAAACUUAUUGUUCUGCCAAAAUAUAUACUUGUUUAAAUUUGGUUCUAGAAACACACUUUAGAAUAGUUGGGGCAGGUUUCAUAAUGGUUUCAUAAUGGUUUCAUAAUGGUUUCAUAAUGCACCAAAUAGGUGGCAAAUAAGAACCGCAGGCUGUUUAAUAGCAGGACUCUUCUACUACAGAGUUGUGAUAUAGGUAGAAUAUGGUUUGGCAUUGUUUUGCUGAAAUACUGUAUGACCGAAAAAGUCAACAGUUGGAUGAGAGCAUAUGUUUUUCCCAAACUGUUCAGCUUUCCCAGAAGAGUAAGCUUGAAAUGCCACACCAGCUUGCUGAGCUGAUAAUGUGGUGUCCAUGAUCCCAAAGGGAUUGUCCAAUUUUGACAAACUAGACUACAGGAUGGUUGAUCAUUUUGCUCCAGUCUUUGGGCUUGAACCUGGAGAAGUUGUCAAGAUUUCGUAAUCAGAUCUCUGGAUCACCAAGAUUUGGUGCUUUUAUGACAAACCAAGUAUGCAGUAUAGGUUUUAAUUGACUUUGGGUAAUAUAACCACUGCCUAAAAUAUCAGACAUAGAUGAAUUAUUUGACUAAAGUCUGAGCUAAAUAUAAAACAAAUGUGCCUGAUAAGAUUGUAAUCCCCAAAUUCCACAGCAUGCAGAACAGCAGCGAAAAGGCUGUUGAUCGUUUCCAUUCAAGUAAAUGUGUCACAUUCCACUAGCUCAGGGGUCGGCAACCUUAAACACUCAAAGAGCCACUUGGACCAGUUUCCCACUGAAAAGAAAACACAGGGAGCCACAAAACCUCUUUGACAUCUAAAAUGAAGAUAACAUUGCAUAUAUCUUUUUUUUUAACCUUUAUACAAAGUAUAUAAAAAACUGUAGCGAGUUGCAUUUAUGAAAUAAAUGAACUAUUUCGGCGAGUGUCUGUCUUCUUCUGUAGUUAAACCGCAAGAUAUCAAAAUCUACCCGGAUACAGCAAUGCUGCUUUUUGAUUGGCUGUUCAGUAGAUAUACUUUAUUUGAUUGGCUUGUGCGUGGCACGCAGCUUCUGAACUCUCGGAGGAACUCAGUUGAUUUCCCCCAGUUCCAUAGUUGAAGAAGUGCAACUUGGUGGACAUCACCGUGUUCAUUUAAAUGCGUGAGAAAUACAAUGUGUGGUGUGUGAGCGUGUGAACGAGUGGGAAUGCGUGUGUCAUACGCUGAAUGCGUGAGACUUGAGAGCCCUGUGCUCACGCAUCAUCGAUGUACUCCCGAGCCAUGCAAAACGGUCUUUGCAAAUGUUGCACUGAAC
Molecule: non-coding RNA, 10928 nt
Organism: Xyrichtys novacula (pearly razorfish)
Lineage: Eukaryota; Metazoa; Chordata; Actinopteri; Labriformes; Labridae
Source: the annotation of a GenBank genome assembly